GUGGGUACGGGCAGACUAGAGUGCGGUAGGGGAGAUUGGAAUUCCUGGUGUAGCGGUGGAAUGCGCAGAUAUCAGGAGGAACACCGAUGGCGAAGGCAGAUCUCUGGGCCGUAACUGACGCUGAGGAGCGAAAGGGUGGGGAGCAAACAGGCUUAGAUACCCUGGUAGUCCACCCCGUAAACGUUGGGAACUAGUUGUGGGGUCCUUUCCACGGAUUCCGUGACGCAGCUAACGCAUUAAGUUCCCCGCCUGGGGAGUACGGCCGCAAGGCUAAAACUCAAAGGAAUUGACGGGGACCCGCACAAGCGGCGGAGCAUGCGGAUUAAUUCGAUGCAACGCGAAGAACCUUACCAAGGCUUGACAUACACGAGAACACCCUAGAAAUAGGGGACUCUUUGGACACUCGUGAACAGGUGGUGCAUGGUUGUCGUCAGCUCGUGUCGUGAGAUGUUGGGUUAAGUCCCGCAACGAGCGCAACCCUCGUUCUAUGUUGCCAGCACGUAAUGGUGGGAACUCAUGGGAUACUGCCGGGGUCAACUCAGAAGAAGGUGGGGAUGACGUCAAAUCAUCAUGCCCCUUAUGUCUUGGGCUUCACGCAUGCUACAAUGG
This 609-nucleotide ribosomal RNA is filed under the name Azotobacter sp. SKS7. RNAcentral describes it as "bacterial SSU rRNA". It matches the Rfam family "Bacterial small subunit ribosomal RNA", at positions 626 to 1233 of the family's 1533-position model. The record is from RNAcentral. Lineage: Bacteria; Pseudomonadati; Pseudomonadota; Gammaproteobacteria; Pseudomonadales; Pseudomonadaceae.